Molecule: non-coding RNA, 23 nt
Filed under: Cricetulus griseus (Chinese hamster)
Lineage: Eukaryota; Metazoa; Chordata; Mammalia; Rodentia; Cricetidae
Source: RNAcentral
AUAAGAAGAGGAUAAUGGACUGU